Heterocephalus glaber (naked mole-rat) is the source of this 738-nucleotide long non-coding RNA. Lineage: Eukaryota; Metazoa; Chordata; Mammalia; Rodentia; Bathyergidae. The record is from Ensembl.
GAGGUGGGCCCUGAUCUAGUACAACUGUUGUUCUCAUAAAAAGAGGAAAUUUGGAAACACAUAUAUACACAUAGAGAACACCAUGUGAUGAGGAUGGCAGAGAUAUGAAUAAAGCACCUACAAGCCACAGAAUGCCACCAGUUGCCAGCAAGCCACCAGAAGCAGGGCAAAGGUAAAGAAACAUUCUCUCAUACAACGCACAGAAGGACUCAACCCUGUCAAAACCUUGAUCUUCAAUUUCAACUCUCCAGAAAUGGGCAAAGACAGGAUGCGUGUUCCCUUCGCAAGAGAACACACUGAGCACUGGACCUGGCCCGCAGGAAGCCCUUGGAAGGGGUGAGCUGUUUGUAUUCCACCUUGGGGUCUCCAGCAGCCUUUCUGAUACCCAGGAGCAGCUUUCACGCAUGGCAUCUGAUAGCAGGUGAUAUUGCCGCAGUCCAUGAGGUCAGGAGGCCCUUCUCCACCAUCUCUUCCUUGCAGCAGCUCUACCUGCAUUCCAGUCAGUCACUGCCACCCCAGAGCCAAAACCUAUCCCAGACUUGCAGGGGAGGAGUAAACAAGCCCAUUGGCCCAAACUUUAGGAGGAGAUGUGCAAUUUAAUGAACUCGGUUCACAUUGUGGGGCUAUGAUUCCUCUUACCUUUAACGUGAACUCACAGGCAGAUUAAAUUGAAAUAAAAACUACCAUUUGAGUUACAUUCUCAGCUGAUUGGAAACAUGCAUUACCUCCCUGUGACCA